GAAAGCGCUCAGAAAACAAAGCUGAGUGGAGAGAUUACCGAGGAGCAGGGGGUGAAAUUGCAGACAGAGCAAUCAGUACCGUGGAGGAGGGGCAAGAAAUCUGCUCUUCAGCCCUUCAGAAGAGCGAGACUCGGAACUCUGAAAAGACAUUUAACAUCAGGCUAUUUGUGAAUAUGUAGACAAUAGGUGUUGUCUCACUUCCACUCCAGUUGACCUUUCCUGGUCCAGAUCUCAGAUGUGGCUGAAAGAGGAGGGCGAGGAGCGGCAAAGAGUAGACUGAAUCAGUAAGUGAAUGUUGAACAGGAUGAAAUCAGACUACAUAACCUGCCAUUGACGAAUGGUCAAGAACACAGAUGCUGGAGACACUCCGGAGUCCUCAUCCGAGCUCUGCCCAUGGCCAGCUGUGUGGGCCUCACCUUCUGAACUGGGAGGCUACAUUGUCCUGACGCAGCACGGAGCACCUAGCCCGGAUGGUGGAGGGCGUGCUGUGGGGAUAGAUGACUCUACAAAGAAGGACAAGAUAACAAAGGAUGAAGCCUGGAAUCUGUCUGUGAGCUCCAGGAACUCCAGAAGCUGCUGAAGCUGCAGAUUUUGGUGUCAUUGACCUGCCUUCCUUCUUUAUUUGGAGGUUGAUGAAUCCUUGGGGAGAAGUGUCUGCAAACCUGAUGGAGAGCCAGAAAAUAGAGCUUCUGUGAACAGCAGCCUUUGGACACCUGAUUUUUCUGAAAGAUAGGCUCUUGAUCAGGCAAGCAGGGGCUUAAUGAUUUAUGCCUUUAUGCUCAACUUCAGAUAAAGUUAGACUAAAUCCUAAAGCAUAUAUAGGAGGAAAAGCUAUUACAGCACUUUGCUUGUCAGAGAUAAAUUCUAAAAAGAAUAAAAAAGAGACAUAUUAUUAAAUAGCUUGCAUUCGAAAUGGUUUUCAAAUUUCAGCAACCUGGGAAUAAUGAAAAAAAUAGAAGAGAGGGUCUCAAAACACUUGGUGGGCAUCAUCCUCUUCUACCAAGCUUUCUUUUUAUUUAACAUCAAGCCCAGAGUUUUAUUCUGCAUUUGUAUUUUAAAACCAAAAUGAAUGAAAAAAAUAGCAUUGCUAAGGUUUGGAAGACACAUAAGAUUAUUUUAACCUCUCAUUGCCUCUUUGCCAAAAACGAUUGUGUUUUAAUAACCCAAAUAAGAGAUGAUUCAAGAUCCCUCCUUGGGAUUAGAAAUAAAAUUAAGAGACUAAGUUAAAUAUCAGAUCAUUCUAGAGUACCUGAGAGGUUCUGCUAAUUUUGUAAUUGGUUAGUCACUUCAUUUAGAUUCUGUAAAAUACUUUUACCUUCAUGUCUGUUCCAAUUCUACCUUAUCCUGUAAGACUUGGUACAGGUGAAGAGGCAUCUCUUUGAAUGGAGUUUUCCCUGAUAGAGCAGACCUUGGUACUCUCAGAUCUCAGAUGCCCUCAGAUCUCUUCACCAGUUCUAUGUGUUUUAAUUUGGUUUCAGGGUGUUCUUUCUUCUGAUCGCAGACACCUGCAGUUUCUUUCGAGGACUUUCCUCAGGCUACUGAAGCCACUUGGCCUGCAUGUUCAAGAUGCCCUGCAGAGAGCUGGAGUGCCUGGGUGCUUAUCUGUCCUUUUAGAGGCCCUUGCCAAUGAGUGGCUGGUGCAGAGGUGUGGAAGCUCAUCACUUCUGCCUUGGACAAGCUACAAAGGAUUAAUUUACAUCCCAGACAUUCUAUGCAGAAUGUUCUGUGAGACUUUGAAAUACUAUCUAAGCUUGGCUUCUUCUCCUUCCCUGUCCUGUUUUGUUCAUUCCUUAGUAGUUCUCUCUGAGAGCACUUUAAUAAUGCAAAUCUUAUCUCAAGGCCCGAUUCUGGGGAACUUGACCUAAAACACAACUUUUACCUUUUGUUUGCAUUUUAAUAGCAAUCUCUAUAUGGUUGAACACUGGUAAUUGACUUGUUCUCUUUUCACUUCAAUGAGAUUGUGAUCUCUCUGAGGGUGGCUGGGAUCUUAUGUAGGGCCCACUAGUUUUACUUUGUUGUUUUAUUUCCCAUCUAUUUCUUUUUUAAAGAUUUUAUUUAGUUACUUUUAGACAGAGGGAUGAAAGGAAGAGUAACAUCAAUG
Long non-coding RNA from Artibeus jamaicensis (Jamaican fruit-eating bat), 2101 nucleotides. RefSeq lists it as uncharacterized. The transcript has 4 exons. The record is from RefSeq and is a predicted model, not a curated record. NCBI's taxonomy places the organism in Eukaryota, Metazoa, Chordata, Mammalia, Chiroptera, Phyllostomidae.